UUUCAAAGGCAGUUUGUGUGGAAACACAAACUCGAAAUCGGCCCCAGAAGUGGCAGGUUUCAAUAUUUUCAGAAAGAACAUUAGAAUGAAAUUCUAUCAAAGACAAAUGACAAAGAGAAAAAAACUUGACAGAUCUUGUGUGGUGCCCCAGAGGUCCAGCAGACCAAAGGAGAGUUGAAAGUGAAUGUGAAGUUAGAUGUGAACCUGGCCUAACUGAUGUCUUAUAAUGAAUCUCUAAUUAAUCUAAUUGUUUUGAAAAGGGUCAAUCUCUUAUUCAAAUCUUCAAGAAAAAAAACAACAUUCCUUUGGUUGAGUGUUCUAUUUGUACAGUGUAGCGCUACAGUUCACACGAUAAUAUGAAAAACUACUUAUCAAUUGUUGUUUUAAAUUAUGUCCAAAUUAUAUGCAUACUAAUUAGAUUUUUUGUGUGUAAAUGUAGUAGUUAGUAUGACAUAACUUACUUAACUUAGCAAUACAAAUGUAAAAAAAACUAAUAUUUUUUGGGGCAAAAAAUGUAAAACCGUUUGCAUAAAUGUGUAAAAAAAAAUAUGGUAAAUUGUCACCUCUCCCUACUAAAGAGACUCCCGAUUUUGUUACUCUUAAUAGUGAAUAGUUGUAAAAGUAGUGUAUUUUUAUAAAAAAAAAAAAACUACUGGCAUAAGUGAUUUUAAAAAUUAGAUUUUUCGCUUUCAGAAAAAAAAAAGUAGCAGUUGCAUCAGAACUUUGAAUGAUCUAAUAUAUCAUGAUGUUCGAUUUUCAUUUUCUCUUCUAGUUUCUGAGAUCUAAACGGGACGGACGGAUGGACAGACAAGCCACACAAAACUAAUAACGUCUUUUCACCUUUCGGGGGCCGCUAAAAAAGCUAAUUUCAUUGAUCGUCCAUUGUAUCAGAGGAUUAAGGAUUUUCUGAUAGAGAGAGAGAGAACAAACUGUAAUAAUAAAUGGCUACAAAUCAACACCAAUAACAGUAAACUCAGGAGUACAUCAAGGAAUACCAUAGUCUUAGGUCUAUUUUUCAUUUACUUGAAUGAUUUACCAAAUUGCAUUAGUUCAGGAACAAAGUCAGAUUAUUUGCAGAUGAUUGCAAUAUAAUAUAGAACAAUAAAAACAACACAAGAUAUAGAAAUUUUACAAAGAGAAUUAGAUGAAUAACAGAAAUGGGAAUCUAAUUGGAGCAUGUCUUUCUACCCAGAAAAAUGUCAGUUAUUAAGAGUAACAAAAAAAAAAAAAAAAACUAAAACAAAUAAA
Biomphalaria glabrata is the source of this 1248-nucleotide long non-coding RNA. RefSeq lists it as uncharacterized. NCBI's taxonomy places the organism in Eukaryota, Metazoa, Mollusca, Gastropoda, Planorbidae. The record is from RefSeq and is a predicted model, not a curated record. The transcript is spliced from 2 exons.